This 1385-nucleotide ribosomal RNA is filed under the name uncultured bacterium. RNAcentral describes it as "bacterial SSU rRNA". It matches the Rfam family "Bacterial small subunit ribosomal RNA", at positions 27 to 1381 of the family's 1533-position model. The record is from RNAcentral.
GAACGAACGCUGGCGGCGUGGAUUAGGCAUGCAAGUCGAACGAGAAUCUGAGAGUUCAAGUUUUCGGACAAGAACUUUUGGAGGAAAGUGGCGGAAGGGUGGGUACAACAUGGAUAAUCUACCUUCAAGUUGGGUAUAGCUUCCCGAAAGGGGAGAUAAUCCCGAAUGUGGUGAUCCGGCGCAUGCCGGAGAAUCCAAAGGCGGGGACCGCAAGGCCUGCCGCUUGGAGAUGAGUCCGUGCACUAUCAGCUAGUUGGCGGGGUAACGGCCCACCAAGGCUUUGACGGUUAGCUGGUCUGAGAGGAUGGUCAGCCACACUGGGACUGAGACACGGUCCAGACUCCUACGGGAGGCAGCAGUGAGGAAUAUUGGUCAAUGGACGAGAGUCUGAACCAGCCAAGUCGCGUGAAGGAAGACGGCCCUACGGGUUGUAAACUUCUUUUGUAAGGGAAUAAAUAGUCUUACGCGCUAAGACGUUGCAGGUACCUUACGAAUAAGGAUCGGCUAACUCCGUGCCAGCAGCCGCGGUAAUACGGAGGAUCCGAGCGUUAUCCGGAUUUAUUGGGUUUAAAGGGUGCGCAGGCGGCAUGUUAAGUCGGCGGUGAAAUUUUGCAGCUCAACUGUAAAAGAGCCUUCGAAACUGGCAAGCUUGAGUGUGGAUGAAGUANNCNGAAUUUGUGGUGUAGCGGUGAAAUGCAUAGAUAUCACAAAGAACACCGAUUGCGCAGGCAGCUUACUAAACCAUAACUGACGCUCAUGCACGAAGGCGUGGGGAUCAAACAGGAUUAGAUACCCUGGUAGUCCACGCAGUAAACGAUGAUUANUGGCUGUUUGCGAUACAAUGUAAGCGGCUGAGCGAAAGCGUUAAGUAAUCCACCUGGGGAGUACGUUCGCAAGAAUGAAACUCAAAGGAAUUGACGGGGGCCCGCACAAGCGGAGGAACAUGUGGUUUAAUUCGAUGAUACGCGAGGAACCUUACCCGGGCUUGAAAUGCAUCUGACGUAUUCGGAAACGGAUAUUCCCUACGGGGCAGAUGUGUAGGUGCUGCAUGGUUGUCGUCAGCUCGUGCCGUGAGGUGUCGGCUUAAGUGCCAUAACGAGCGCAACCCUCAUCGUCAGUUACCAUCAGGUAAAGCUGGGGACUCUGGCGAGACUGCCAUCGUAAGAUGCGAGGAAGGUGGGGAUGACGUCAAAUCAGCACGGCCCUUACGUCCGGGGCGACACACGUGUUACAAUGGGUGGUACAAAGGGCAGCUACCUGGCGACAGGAUGCUAAUCUCCAAAACCACUCUCAGUUCGGAUCGGAGUCUGCAACUCGACUCCGUGAAGCUGGAUUCGCUAGUAAUCGCGCAUCAGCCACGGCGCGGUGAAUACGUUCCCGGGCCU